CCUACGGGAGGCAGCAGUGAGGAAUAUUGGUCAAUGGGCGCGAGCCUGAACCAGCGAAGUAGCGUGAAGGAUGACUGCCCUACGGGUUGUAAACUUCUUUGAAGGGGGAAGAGCAGAAGACGGUACCCCUUGAAUAAGCCACGGCUAACUACGUGCCAGCAGCCGCGGUAAGAAGUAGGUGGCAAGCGUUGUCCGGAUUUACGGGGUGUAAAGGGCGUGUAGGCGGAGAGAGAAGUCAGAUGUGAACUCCACGGACUCAACCCGUGAACUGCAUUUGAAAGUGUUUCCCUUGAGUGGCGGGAGGGUAAUCGGAAUUCCUUGUGUAGCGGUGAAAUGCGUAGAUAUAAGGAAGAACACCAGUGGCGAAGGCGGAUUACUGGACGAUAACUGACGGUGAGGCGCGAAAGCGUGGGGAGCAAACAGGAUUAGAUACCCCAGUAGUC
RNAcentral lists this ribosomal RNA (443 nucleotides) under uncultured bacterium. Its description in RNAcentral is "partial 16S ribosomal RNA". It matches the Rfam family "Bacterial small subunit ribosomal RNA", at positions 338 to 795 of the family's 1533-position model. The record is from RNAcentral.